RNAcentral lists this ribosomal RNA (368 nucleotides) under unidentified archaeon. RNAcentral describes it as "bacterial SSU rRNA". It matches the Rfam family "Archaeal small subunit ribosomal RNA", at positions 90 to 462 of the family's 1478-position model. The record is from RNAcentral.
UCAGUAACACGUAGUCAACAUGCCCAGGGGACGUGGAUAACCUCGGGAAACUGAGGAUAACCGCGAUAGGUCACUGCUUCUGGAAUGGGCAAUGACCCAAACCUACAUGGCCCUGGAUUGGACUGCGGCCGAUCAGGCUGUUGGUGAGGUAAUGGCCCACCAAACCUGUAACCGGUACGGGCUCUGAGAGGAGGAGCCCGGAGAUGGGCACUGAGACAAGGGCCCAGGCCCUAUGGGGCGCAGCAGGCGCGAAACCUCUGCAAUAGGCGAAAGCUUGACAGGGUUACUCUGAGUGAUUUCCGUUAAGGAGAUCUUUUGGCACCUCUAAAAAUGGUGCAGAAUAAGGGGUGGGCAAGUCUGGUGCCAGC